This 73-nucleotide transfer RNA is filed under the name Caudoviricetes sp. RNAcentral describes it as "tRNA-Thr". It matches the Rfam family "tRNA", at positions 10 to 71 of the family's 71-position model. From Rfam's summary of the family: Transfer RNA (tRNA) molecules are approximately 80 nucleotides in length. Their secondary structure includes four short double-helical elements and three loops (D, anti-codon, and T loops). Lineage: Duplodnaviria; Heunggongvirae; Uroviricota; Caudoviricetes. The record is from RNAcentral.
GCCGAUCAUGGGGGUCAAGGCCCGCUGUCUUGUAAACAGCAGGUCGUCGGUUCGAGUCCGACAAGCGGCUCCA